RNAcentral lists this ribosomal RNA (253 nucleotides) under uncultured bacterium. Its description in RNAcentral is "partial 16S ribosomal RNA". It matches the Rfam family "Bacterial small subunit ribosomal RNA", at positions 524 to 776 of the family's 1533-position model. The record is from RNAcentral.
UACGGAGGGAGCUAGCGUUGUUCGGAAUUACUGGGCGUAAAGCGCGCGUAGGCGGCUUUGUAAGUUAGAGGUGAAAGCCCGGGGCUCAACCCCGGAACAGCCUUUAAGACUGCAUCGCUAGAAUCCGGGAGAGGUGAGUGGAAUUCCGAGUGUAGAGGUGAAAUUCGUAGAUAUUCGGAAGAACGCCAAAAGCGAAGGCAGCUCUCUGGGUCCCUACCGACGCUGGGGUGCGAAAGCAUGGGGAGCGAACAGG